This 468-nucleotide ribosomal RNA is filed under the name uncultured bacterium. Its description in RNAcentral is "partial 16S ribosomal RNA". It matches the Rfam family "Bacterial small subunit ribosomal RNA", at positions 28 to 507 of the family's 1533-position model. The record is from RNAcentral.
GACGAACGCUGGCGGCGUGCUUAACACAUGCCAGUCGAACGGAAAGGCCCUGAUGUUGUGGUCUGCCCAAGUGACGAACGGGUGAGUAACACGUGAGUAACCUGCCCUUGACUUUGGGAUAACUUCAAGAAACUAGGGCUAAUAACGGAUAGAAACUCCCGCUGCACGGUAGGGGUUGGAAAGUUUCGGCGGUUGGGGAUGGACUCGCGGCUUAGCAGCUUGUUGGUGGGGUAGUGGCUUACCAAGGCUAUGACGGGUAGCCGGCCUGAGAGGGUGACCGGCCACAUUGGGACUGGGGUAGGGGCCAGAGUCAUACGGGCGGCAGCGGUGGGAAAUAUUGCGCAAUGCGCGGAAGCCGGAUGCAGCGACGCCGCGUGCGGGAUGACGGCCUUUCGGUUGUAAACGGCUUUCGCCUGAGACGGAGCGUGAGUGACGGUAACGGGUUAGAAAGCAACGGCUAACUACGUG